This 548-nucleotide ribosomal RNA is filed under the name Agrococcus sp. PhelS3. RNAcentral describes it as "bacterial SSU rRNA". It matches the Rfam family "Bacterial small subunit ribosomal RNA", at positions 74 to 635 of the family's 1533-position model. Lineage: Bacteria; Bacillati; Actinomycetota; Actinomycetes; Micrococcales; Microbacteriaceae. The record is from RNAcentral.
AGGAGCUUGCUCCUCCGGANUAGUGGCGAACGGGUGAGUAAUACGUGAGCAAUGUGCCCUUGACUCUGGGAUAAGCGCUGGAAACGGCGUCUAAUACCGGAUACGACCCUCGGAGGCAUCUCCUGAUGGUGGAAAGAACUUCGGUCAAGGAUCAGCUCACGGCCUAUCAGCUAGUUGGUGAGGUAACGGCUCACCAAGGCGACGACGGGUAGCCGGCCUGAGAGGGUGACCGGCCACACUGGGACUGAGACACGGCCCAGACUCCUACGGGAGGCAGCAGUGGGGAAUAUUGCACAAUGGGCGCAAGCCUGAUGCAGCAACGCCGCGUGAGGGACGACGGCCUUCGGGUUGUAAACCUCUUUUAGCAGGGAAGAAGCGAAAGUGACGGUACCUGCAGAAAAAGCACCGGCUAACUACGUGCCAGCAGCCGCGGUAAUACGUAGGGUGCAAGCGUUGUCCGGAAUUAUUGGGCGUAAAGAGCUCGUAGGCGGUCUGUCACGUCUGNUGUGAAAACCCGAGGCUCAACCUCGGGCUUGCAGUGGGUACGG